This 392-nucleotide ribosomal RNA is filed under the name uncultured bacterium. Its description in RNAcentral is "partial 16S ribosomal RNA". It matches the Rfam family "Bacterial small subunit ribosomal RNA", at positions 523 to 918 of the family's 1533-position model. The record is from RNAcentral.
AUACGGAGGAUCCGAGCGUUAUCCGGAUUUAUUGGGUUUAAAGGGUGCGCAGGCGGCCAUUUAAGUCAGCGGUUAAAUCGUGGGGCUCAACCCCAUUCUGCCGUUGAUACUGGGUGGCUUGAUUGCGGUCGAGGUUGGCGGAAUUCGUUGUGUAGCGGUGAAAUGCAUAGAUAUGACGAAGAACACCGAUUGCGUAGGCAGCUGACCAGACCGCAAAUGACGCUCAUGCACGAAAGUGCGGGGAUCGAACAGGAUUAGAUACCCUGGUAGUCCACACAGUAAACGAUGAAUACUUGUUUUCGGCGAUAUAAUGUCGGAGGCAAAGCGAAAGCGAUAAGUAUUCCACCUGGGGAGUACGCCGGCAACGGUGAAACUCAAAGGAAUUGACGGGG